UGGGAAUUUUGGACAAUGGGCGAAAGCCUGAUCCAGCCAUGCCGCGUGCAGGAUGAAGGCCUUCGGGUUGUAAACUGCUUUUGUACGGAACGAAAAGCCUCUUUCUAAUAAAGAGGGGUCAUGACGGUACCGUAAGAAUAAGCACCGGCUAACUACGUGCCAGCAGCCGCGGUAAUACGUAGGGUGCAAGCGUUAAUCGGAAUUACUGGGCGUAAAGCGUGCGCAGGCGGUUUUGUAAGACAGAGGUGAAAUCCCCGGGCUCAACCUGGGAACUGCCUUUGUGACUGCAAGGCUGGAGUGCGGCAGAGGGGGAUGGAAUUCCGCGUGUAGCAGUGAAAUGCGUAGAUAUGCGGAGGAACACCGAUGGCGAAGGCAAUCCCCUGGGCUGCACUGACGCUCAUGCACGAAAGCGUGGGGAGCAAAGCAGGAUUAGAUACCCUGGUAGUCCACGCCCUAAACGAUGUCAACUGGUUGUUGGGUCUUCACUGACUCAGUAACGAAGCUAACGCGUGAAGUUGACCGCCUGGGGAGUAC
Molecule: ribosomal RNA, 534 nt
Filed under: uncultured bacterium
Lineage: Bacteria
Description: partial 16S ribosomal RNA
Rfam family: Bacterial small subunit ribosomal RNA
Source: RNAcentral